GGAAGUGGAACGCCGUGGAAAUAGGUUGCACCUUGCUAGCCAAGCUAGUUAGUUAGUUAUAGUAGGCCAGGAAAGUCUGGUAAGAGCCGACGAGGAAGAAGUCAAGUGACGCAAUUCAUGUCCUACAGUAAACAUUACCAGUUAACAACAUGCAAAGUGCAUGUAAUAACAUAAAACCUUUGGUAACAAGUGUGACAUGAGCCUUAUUACCAUCGCAAUAUUACCGGUGCAAGAAUACUCCAUAUACAGUAACUCCCAGUUAUACCAGUGAGCUGAGUGAGUACUGCACCUGGUUCCCAUCACACCUCUACAGUUGUGUGCUGGAUUUUAGACGCAAAACUUCAAUCAUCUUGCCUAGACCUUCCGCUCCCUG
This is a long non-coding RNA of Sander lucioperca (pikeperch), 373 nucleotides long. RefSeq lists it as uncharacterized. The record is from RefSeq and is a predicted model, not a curated record. Lineage: Eukaryota; Metazoa; Chordata; Actinopteri; Perciformes; Percidae. The transcript has 3 exons.